UGGGGAAUAUUGCACAAUGGGCGCAAGCCUGAUGCAGCCAUGCCGCGUGUAUGAAGAAGGCCUUCGGGUUGUAAAGUACUUUCAGCGGGGAGGAAGGGAGUAAAGUUAAUACCUUUGCUCAUUGACGUUACCCGCAGAAGAAGCACCGGCUAACUCCGUGCCAGCAGCCGCGGUAAUACGGAGGGUGCAAGCGUUAAUCGGAAUUACUGGGCGUAAAGCGCACGCAGGCGGUUUGUUAAGUCAGAUGUGAAAUCCCCGGGCUCAACCUGGGAACUGCAUCUGAUACUGGCAAGCUUGAGUCUCGUAGAGGGGGGUAGAAUUCCAGGUGUAGCGGUGAAAUGCGUAGAGAUCUGGAGGAAUACCGGUGGCGAAGGCGGCCCCUUGGACGAAGACUGACGCUCAGGUGCGAAAGCGUGGGGAGCAAACA
This 427-nucleotide ribosomal RNA is filed under the name uncultured bacterium. Its description in RNAcentral is "partial 16S ribosomal RNA". It matches the Rfam family "Bacterial small subunit ribosomal RNA", at positions 355 to 774 of the family's 1533-position model. The record is from RNAcentral.